UGAAUCGGUUCGAUCCAAGAGGUAUUGUUUCUCUUUUUAGUUGACAUGUUAUGAAUAUUUGUUUGUUUUCAAUUGCGAAAAACUACUGCUGCCUUACAUGCCUAAGUGCAGAUCAAGAACCGGCUCAAAACAUCCGGAGCCAAUUUCCAUCGAGUUUCCUAUGCACGGCGAUGAAACAAAUGUUCCUGUGAAGGUUAGGGGCAAGAGUAAGGAGUGCACUGAAAAGAUUCCUAUGGUGCCACAAGACAGCCCAGCAAUGUGCACAAGAAGCAAAAAAUUUAACUCUGCAAGCCUUUCAAUGAGCACAAGAAGCAAAAGGCGGCUCAGUUUGUGAUUCUCAUGUUUUCCUUAAUGUCAUGGUUACUUUUGGAUGUCCUUUUGUGCUGCUCAUGUGAUGUACUUGUGGACCUGACCUCAUAUGUGAAACAAUAUGUGAUGCAUGCCAACUAGUACUGAUGUAUGUGGUGAAUGUGAACCUAAAUGUGAUGUAUGUGUGAACAUGG
RNAcentral lists this long non-coding RNA (503 nucleotides) under Triticum aestivum (bread wheat). Its description in RNAcentral is "long non-coding RNA (TAES_LNC005439)". The record is from RNAcentral. Lineage: Eukaryota; Viridiplantae; Streptophyta; Magnoliopsida; Poales; Poaceae.